AGUGAACGCUGGCGGUAGGCCUAACACGUGCAAGUCGAACGGCAGCACAGUAAGAGCUUGCUCUUACGGGUGGCGAGUGGCGGACGGGUGAGGAAUACAUCGGAAUCUACUUUUUCGUGGGGGAUAACGUAGGGAAACUUACGCUAAUACCGCAUACGACCUACGGGUGAAAGCAGGGGAUCUUCGGACCUUGCGCGAUUGAAUGAGCCGAUGUCGGAUUAGCUAGUUGGCGGGGUAAAGGCCCACCAAGGCGACGAUCCGUAGCUGGUCUGAGAGGAUGAUCAGCCACACUGGAACUGAGACACGGUCCAGACUCCUACGGGAGGCAGCAGUGGGGAAUAUUGGACAAUGGGCGCAAGCCUGAUCCAGCCACACCGCGUGGGUGAAGAAGGCCUUCGGGUUGUAAAGCCCUUUUGUUGGGAAAGAAAAGCAGCAGGUUAAUACCCCGCUGUUCUGACGGUACCCAAAGAAUAAGCACCGGCUAACUUCGUG
RNAcentral lists this ribosomal RNA (492 nucleotides) under uncultured bacterium. RNAcentral describes it as "partial 16S ribosomal RNA". It matches the Rfam family "Bacterial small subunit ribosomal RNA", at positions 29 to 507 of the family's 1533-position model. The record is from RNAcentral.